UUUAAGGUGGAGCUCAUGAAGU
Molecule: non-coding RNA, 22 nt
Filed under: Mus musculus (house mouse)
Lineage: Eukaryota; Metazoa; Chordata; Mammalia; Rodentia; Muridae
Source: RNAcentral